UUGAAAAAUUACAGCCCCUUUUCCUGAACCUCCUCCUGUGCACUCUCUCAUCGGACAAAAAUGAAUUGCAAAACCCUAGUCACCACCACCUCUACUCCUUACCACCAUAAUUGUGCCUUCCUCGAUUUGUGUCGCCUGUUAAACGGGGCUUGGUUAAUAAAAUGUUUGGAAUUAGCGAUCUUGUUGCAUGUGAUGAUGAGCAAAAAAGGUAAUUAACCUAGAAAUAGAGGUGCAUCUGUUUCUUUGAAUCAUAUUUCAUUUUCUAAUUUCUACUUCCUUAACCUGGGUAUGUAAAUACUAUGACAUUUUAACAUGAUUUAUGUACAUACUUUGCUAUAAAGUAGUGUUAAGGAACAUUGAGAGCAAGAUGACUCUAUGACAGUGCGGUAGAACUGGAAUUAAAAGGGCAUUCACAUGUUUGAGUAUUCUUCAUGAUAAGCUUCUUAAUUUUAUUCUUGUUUUCUCUUAUACAUUAAUCAUUUUUUAUAGGAAAAUGCGAAAUGAAACUAUAUUUUGCAAGAAUGUUAGUAGCUUCUUUUGUCAUUUUCCAUUGAACAAUGUUUAUUUUCAACAAGGUACUAUGUUGCUUCUUCUAUCUCGCCUGUUCUCUCGUUCUAUUAAUUAAUCUUUACGUAAUUGGCGUUUCUUCUUCUAUGUGAUAAUGUAUUGACGUUUUACCAAACAUUUAUUCUUUAUUAUGGUUUCAUUGGUUGCUUUUUUCUCAUGUACAAUUUAUGGGAUCUACCAAACAUAUUUUCUAGUUAUAUGCUAGCAAUGAAUAGCAACAACAGUCACUAUAGCAUUCAAGAACCCUUGAUUAACAGUGAGAUAUUCAUCCAUAAUCAAUUGUUGCAAUAUAGUGAAAUAUUGAAGGUCUAAAGAAUGAAAACGAUGAGUUCUUCGGCAAAUAUUGAUUGAUGAAAGCAGCAGACGAAGUCACAAAUAAAAUUAGAACCUCAUAUCAACAGAUGUUGAAGAAAACCACCAGACUCUCUAGUGAAGCUUAUUGAUGUUUGUGGUUAUAUAUAAAUUCAAAGGAGAUUUCAGAAGAUACAAGUGAAGAAAUGGUAUGGAACGGCGUGAACCAUUACUACAAACACAUGGACUAAGUUUUUAUUGAACAUAAAAAUCAUAAAAGCGUGACGAUGAUUCAGGAAAUGAUAUUUGAAGAGCACAAAAAUUUGGUAGACGAGAUAUUGAAAUUGAGACUAGAAAAGUCAAAAGAAGAUCGAGGCUGCUAGCAUUGUUUUUGAGUGCCUAGAAGUUGGAGUGAUGUAACUGCAUCCAAGAAGAUCAGGUUUGAAGACUACCGUUAGCAACAUAUGUAUUUGUUUAUUCCCAAAAACCCAUCAGUAUCCACAAUUUUCUUAAAUGUGCGAUUAUUUCUCUCAUCCAGUUGCCUAGAAUAUUGAUGGACAUUUAGGAACACGAUGCAAAGGAGUUUUUAGGUGCACAUCUACCUUGCUUGGCUCAAUAUACAACAUGAAUAAUUGCAGGCAUAUUGAUGCUUGUGGGUAAUUGCAAAAAGGUUUGUGUCAAUGUCCUCUGAUUCAAGCUUUUAGCUUUUGUACACGAUGAAAGUGGCCAUUCAAAUCACUGUAAGGUUGUUUGACACUUACGGGGCAAGCUUGCUGCUACUGCCGAGAAUGAAAACAGAUUAUGGUGGGGGCAUGCAAAAAACCUCUCAACUGGAUACAUAUGACAUCUCGUUAGAUGUUUUGUAAGAUUGGAUCUUAAUGAUCUUAAUAUGUAAGAAUUCAUUUAGAAAUUUAGGUAGGGGCUUUUUUAUUGGUUAAAUGCAAAAAUAAGAGUAUAAUAGUUGUAAA
Non-coding RNA from Lactuca sativa (garden lettuce), 1826 nucleotides. Lineage: Eukaryota; Viridiplantae; Streptophyta; Magnoliopsida; Asterales; Asteraceae. The record is from RefSeq and is a predicted model, not a curated record.